Long non-coding RNA from Oryzias melastigma (Indian medaka), 1147 nucleotides. RefSeq lists it as uncharacterized. The transcript is spliced from 3 exons. The record is from RefSeq and is a predicted model, not a curated record. NCBI's taxonomy places the organism in Eukaryota, Metazoa, Chordata, Actinopteri, Beloniformes, Adrianichthyidae.
UAAAAAAACAACUUUAUUUUGAAAAUUCAGGAAAGUUUCUGAGCUUUUAUCAAUAUUUUCUGUUUUAAAGUGAACAAAAAAACGUUUUGAGCGUUAUAAAAAUCUGACUUCAUGCAUAUUUUGUGGUUUGGAUCAGAGGAAUGUCAAGAUGACCACCUUCACUUUCUCAAACUGUAGCUUCAGAUCCUCCUUUCAAACAGACAGAAAUUUCUGUUUUCACUGCCUUCAAUUGUGUCAUCUUCAUGAACCGUGACCGACUGCAGUGACCGAGCUCUCAGAGCUUCAAGAGAGGAUCCAGAAGGAUCAGCAGCUGAAUCCGGUUUGAGAUCGGAGGAAGGUGAAAGAAGACGUGCCAUGCUUCAAUCCUGAGGUGCAGAAAGAUGCAUCAGCCAGGAAGAGGCGGAGUCAUCCCUGACCAGAGUUCACUUCCUCCCACAUUCAUCCCUGCGUCUCCUAUUCAGCCUCAGCACCGAGCGGCGCUCACCGACACGCUGGAGGACGACGUUUGCAGGGAGAAAGAAAGACAGAAUGGGGCGAGGGGGGGGGGGUCUUCUGCAAACAGGUCAAAGGUCGGGGGCCCUUAAACCAACACUUGGCCCUCUGAAGCCUGAAGCUUUUACCUCUCCGGGAGAAUGGGCUGGAUUCAAGAGCGGCUCUAAUUAAUGGUGACGGACACGCCUGAAAGGGAGAGGCCGCCGACACAAUCCAGACACUUAGUGAGGGCCGCGGGCCUUCAGCCGCAGACCCGCGCAGCGCCAGAAUCAUUAAACCUGCAGAUUAACUCUUGCUUUUUUCCUGCGUUGGAUCAAGACCCGACUCUUCAGCCGGACAAUGGAGUGCUCUUCACACGGUGGAGCGGGAACCGCUGACAUGUGACUCGCUUGUUCCGGCUGACAAAGGUUUCAGUCCUCUGAAAUCUGCAGAUAUUUAACCAUUUCAACGAUCAGUACGGUGGCCCUGAGGGUUCAAUCCUUUAUUUUUAAGUUUAUGCUCCUCUUUAGCGCCUCCCAUAGGUUUUAUUUUUUAAAGCUCCACACCUGUAAAUACUGUCUCAUCUCACUUAAUGUUACUUUAUGCAACACGUCCAGCAAACGUUCAGAAAAUGAACUUUUUCACGGUGACGUCAGACGAAACGGCGACCUCCGGU